This 705-nucleotide ribosomal RNA is filed under the name Pseudomonas sp. RNAcentral's name for it is "bacterial SSU rRNA". It matches the Rfam family "Bacterial small subunit ribosomal RNA", at positions 68 to 779 of the family's 1533-position model. Lineage: Bacteria; Pseudomonadati; Pseudomonadota; Gammaproteobacteria; Pseudomonadales; Pseudomonadaceae. The record is from RNAcentral.
GAUGAGAGGAGCUUGCUCCUUGAUUUAGCGGCGGACGGGUGAGUAAUGCCUAGGAAUCUGCCUGGUAGUGGGGGAUAACGUCCGGAAACGGGCGCUAAUACCGCAUACGUCCUACGGGGGAAAGCAGGGGACCUUCGGGCCUUGCGCUAUCAGAUGAGCCUAGGUCGGAUUAGCUAGUUGGUGAGGUAAUGGCUCACCAAGGCGACGAUCCGUAACUGGUCUGAGAGGAUGAUCAGUCACACUGGAACUGAGACACGGUCCAGACUCCUACGGGAGGCAGCAGUGGGGAAUAUUGGACAAUGGGCGAAAGCCUGAUCCAGCCAUGCCGCGUGUGUGAAGAAGGUCUUCGGAUUGUAAAGCACUUUAAGUUGGGAGGAAGGGCAUUAACCUAAUACGUUAGUGUUUUGACGUUACCGACAGAAUAAGCACCGGCUAACUUCGUGCCAGCAGCCGCGGUAAUACGAAGGGUGCAAGCGUUAAUCGGAAUUACUGGGCGUAAAGCGCGCGUAGGUGGUUCGUUAAGUUGGAUGUGAAAGCCCCGGGCUCAACCUGGGAACUGCAUCCAAACUGGCGAGCUAGAGUACGGUAGAGGGUGGUGGAAUUUCCUGUGUAGCGGUGAAUGCGUAAUAUAUGAAGGACAGCACUGGCGAGGCGACAUCUGACUGAUACUGACACUGAGUGCUAAGCGUGGGAGCAAACAGGAUG